CCGGAAUUGAAGAAAUACAAACGACGUCAGGCGAGGAGGUGCAAAAACAACUUCGGGGAAAAGAAGGCUCGCACCAUGGCGAAUUAUAAAGUCACCAAAAAGGACUUGAUUAGGAAAGUUUUAGCAAUGCGUUGAAGAUCACCGUGAGACGACGAGACUCUCUCGUGGUUCUGAAAAUGGCUGAUCCGACCCUGGUGAAGAAGACAACAUAUCAAGAAUACAUGCUCCAGGCGGCGGACAACAUAAUCAUAAGACUGGUGUCUUUUUUUAGCCAAUCUGCCAACAAAGCCGGCCACUGUCCUCAUCACCACAGUAGCCACGACCACAGUAGCGACGACCAUUGCAGCCACAACCACUGUGAGGCCAGCUACGACGACCAGCGCCCCAUUAAUUCAGAGCAUUGAAUUAAAAAUCAACCGACAGCGGUUACCGACACCCACCAUCCAAAAAACUGCACAAAUUCCAUGGAAAAAUGCGCCCAAUAAUGAUGCUGCUUUCCCAUUUCAUCAAUCAUCCUCGCUAUCUCCAGCAGCCCGACUCCCCCAACCACCACCACCAUCUCCCAUUCCAGCCUCCCCGUUACAAGUCCCAAGACCUCCACCAUCGUCCCCAUCAAUAGCAGCAACCCCAAAUCCACCACUCGUACGGCUACUGCCUGGAACAUCACCUAUUCCCGAUAUGCAUUGUAAGGAGACAAAUAUGGACAGGCUCAUAAGGAGCAUUUGCCGAUUUAAUUAUUUGCAGGGAUCUGACGGCAUUCACAUGUCGUAUGGCAAAGGUGAGAUGAAAUGCGAUGAGCGAA
Long non-coding RNA from Folsomia candida, 802 nucleotides. RefSeq lists it as uncharacterized. The transcript has 3 exons. The record is from RefSeq and is a predicted model, not a curated record. Lineage: Eukaryota; Metazoa; Arthropoda; Collembola; Entomobryomorpha; Isotomidae.